CUCUGACGUUAGCGGCGGACGGGUGAGUAACACGUGGAUAACCUACCUAUAAGACUGGGAUAACUUCGGGAAACCGGAGCUAAUACCGGAUAAUAUAUUGAACCGCAUGGUUCAAUAGUGAAAGACGGUUUUGCUGUCACUUAUAGAUGGAUCCGCGCCGCAUUAGCUAGUUGGUAAGGUAACGGCUUACCAAGGCAACGAUGCGUAGCCGACCUGAGAGGGUGAUCGGCCACACUGGAACUGAGACACGGUCCAGACUCCUACAGGAGGCAGCAGUAGGGAAUCUUCCGCAAUGGGCGAAAGCCUGACGGAGCAACGCCGCGUGAGUGAUGAAGGUCUUCGGAUCGUAAAACUCUGUUAUUAGGGAAGAACAAAUGUGUAAGUAACUAUGCACGUCUUGACGGUACCUAAUCAGAAAGCCACGGCUAACUACGUGCCAGCAGCCGCGGUAAUACGUAGGUGGCAAGCGUUAUCCGGAAUUAUUGGGCGUAAAGCGCGCGUAGGCGGUUUUUUAAGUCUGAUGUGAAAGCCCACGGCUCAACCGUGGAGGGUCAUUGGAAACUGGAAAACUUGAGUGCAGAAGAGGAAAGUGGAAUUCCAUGUGUAGCGGUGAAAUGCGCAGAGAUAUGGAGGAACACCAGUGGCGAAGGCGACUUUCUGGUCUGUAACUGACGCUGAUGUGCGAAAGCGUGGGGAUCAAACAGGAUUAGAUACCCUGGUAGUCCACGCCGUAAACGAUGAGUGCUAAGUGUUAGGGGGUUCCCGCCCCUUAGUGCUGCAGCUAACGCAUUA
This 792-nucleotide ribosomal RNA is filed under the name uncultured Staphylococcus sp. RNAcentral describes it as "SSU rRNA". It matches the Rfam family "Bacterial small subunit ribosomal RNA", at positions 84 to 862 of the family's 1533-position model. Lineage: Bacteria; Bacillati; Bacillota; Bacilli; Caryophanales; Staphylococcaceae. The record is from RNAcentral.